Non-coding RNA from Anas platyrhynchos (mallard), 500 nucleotides. The record is from RefSeq and is a predicted model, not a curated record. NCBI's taxonomy places the organism in Eukaryota, Metazoa, Chordata, Aves, Anseriformes, Anatidae.
GAGAAGCAGGUUAGAUCAUGAAUUAAUUAGGGCUGUAACAGAGUGCAGCUGAGCACUGCAACAAAUCCACUGCUGUGACUGUAGAGAUGAGGUACUGCUGUUCCCCUCCUCCAGCUUCUGCCUUCCACCAGACCCAGCAGAUGUCUGGCCACAGGGCUGGCGGGCCUUCUAGGAGUUCACCAUCCACUCAGUACCAGCCUACAUCUUCCAGUGCUUGCUUGAUGUGCUCUGGGGAGAUGUUUCUGGACUGAUAGUAACAGCCAUGUCUUCUGGGGUUGGCUGCCCCAAAGUGUACCCGUUCACUCCAGUUCUGGAUUUUGAUUGUAUAUUUAUUUUUGAGCCCCCCAACAGUGAUUUCAGUUACCCUACAGAACAGAUUGAUGCAUUCUGCAGCUGUCAGCAGGUUACUAGCUGCCCCUCUCUUUGGAGGCAAUAAAUCACUCCAUUGACUUGGUUUCUUCUGUGUGAUUUUGCCCUCAGUCUCAGGAGUUUUGUAACAC